ACAAGCGUAGCUCAGUCGGUAGAGCAUCUGACUUUUAAUCUCUGGGUCAACGGUUCGACUCCCUAUGAUGGCG
Molecule: transfer RNA, 73 nt
Filed under: methanotrophic endosymbiont of Bathymodiolus azoricus (Menez Gwen)
Lineage: Bacteria
Source: RNAcentral